GUGGGGAAUUUUGGACAAUGGGGGCAACCCUGAUCCAGCCAUGCCGCGUGCGGGAAGAAGGCCUUCGGGUUGUAAACCGCUUUUGUCAGGGAAGAAAUCCUUUGGGUUAAUACCUCGGAGGGAUGACGGUACCUGAAGAAUAAGCACCGGCUAACUACGUGCCAGCAGCCGCGGUAAUACGUAGGGUGCGAGCGUUAAUCGGAAUUACUAGGCGUAAAGCGUGCGCAGGCGGUUUUGUAAGAUCGAUGUGAAAUCCCCGGGCUCAACCUGGGAACUGCAUUGGUGACUGCAAGGCUGGAGUGCGGCAGAGGGGGAUGGAAUUCCGCGUGUAGCAGUGAAAUGCGUAGAUAUGCGGAGGAACACCGAUGGCGAAGGCAAUCCCCUGGGCCUGCACUGACGCUCAUGCACGAAAGCGUGGGGAGCAAACAGGAUUAGAAACCCCAGUAGUCC
Molecule: ribosomal RNA, 450 nt
Filed under: uncultured bacterium
Lineage: Bacteria
Description: bacterial SSU rRNA
Rfam family: Bacterial small subunit ribosomal RNA
Source: RNAcentral